Molecule: ribosomal RNA, 492 nt
Filed under: uncultured bacterium
Lineage: Bacteria
Description: partial 16S ribosomal RNA
Rfam family: Bacterial small subunit ribosomal RNA
Source: RNAcentral
AGUGAACGCUGGCGGUAGGCCUAACACAUGCAAGUCGAACGGCAGCACAGUAAGAGCUUGCUCUUACGGGUGGCGAGUGGCGGACGGGUGAGGAAUACAUCGGAAUCUACUUUUUCGUGGGGGAUAACGUAGGGAAACUUACGCUAAUACCGCAUACGACCUACGGGUGAAAGCAGGGGCUCUUCGGACCUUGCGCGAUUGAAUGAGCCGAUGUCGGAUUAGCUAGUUGGCGGGGUAAAGGCCCACCAAGGCGACGAUCCGUAGCUGGUCUGAGAGGAGGAUCGGCCACACUGGAACUGAGACACGGUCCAGACUCCUACGGGAGGCAGCAGUGGGGAAUAUUGGACGAUGGGCGCAAGCCUGAUCCAGCCAUACCGCGUGGGUGAAGAAGGCCUUCGGGUUGUAAAGCCCUUUUGUUGGGAAAGAAAAGCAGCAGGUUAAUACCCCGCUGUUCUGACGGUACCCAAAGAAUAAGCACCGGCUAACUUCGUG